UUUAAUUCUUGGGUUCGCUGGUGUGUUGGCUCCUUUCCACCAGGAGAACAAUGGACUUUGUAGUUUAUGUAUGCUGAUCAGUAUUUCACCCACUGCUACUCCCGUCUUGUUGGCCAAGCUGUUGACCUCAUCUAUGUUUAUACAUCUGUUCCAGUUCCUCGGAGAUCACAGGUGACCCUCCAGCCAUGAGGUUCCGUAAUCUGUUGAUCGUUGCCAUUUUGGGCGCCUUUCUAGUCUCUUUAGGAGCCGGUUUGAACUUAUUCGCCAGGCGCUGCCGGCGGAGAGCAGGAAAAUGUCGAGGCAAUCGGUGCUUCUACAAUGAAAUUGAGAUCAGCACGUGCUACCACACGAAAAUAAAAUGUUGCCGGGAGAAAGAUUGAGAGGCGCCGGCGCCGAGACUGUUACGGAUGACCUGAGAACCUGGGCGAGAGUGUCCCGAGAGAACCGACGUCUCUGAGUCUGCAUGCUCUUUUUAGGAAAGUGGAUUCUUCCAGCUCAACAAUUCCACUGUGAAAUGGAGAGGAAAUCAGGACCGCUGCGUGGCGCAUUUACGCAUCCUCUGCCAUUGUCUUUCAUUCCUCUUCUUCCUUUUAAAGCACUCGCAGCCUUUCCAACCCCUGCUGUCAAAUUGUAGCACCAAUCCCUCAUUGCAAAAACAAAUCAUAGAUUUAUACAAUAAAUAAAUGAUUCUUUUUUAUAAUAA
This is a long non-coding RNA of Podarcis raffonei (Aeolian wall lizard), 703 nucleotides long. RefSeq lists it as uncharacterized. The record is from RefSeq and is a predicted model, not a curated record. The transcript has 2 exons. NCBI's taxonomy places the organism in Eukaryota, Metazoa, Chordata, Lepidosauria, Squamata, Lacertidae.